GUUCAUGUUUUUAGAAAUAUAAUGUGGUACUUCAAUAUCAAUUUUAUCUAAAGACAAAACGACACACAAAUGAUCGUGAGGAGCAAUUGAUGUUUUAUUCGCUCUGCAGCGUUUGAAUUGAUCUCCGGAUAUCUAGAUCAAGUUCAUUUCCCCAUUAAAAUUCACAAUGGUUAUAAGUGAACCUUUUCCUUCCGAACAACUUACAUUCAAUAUAAUAUCCGUUCAUGUUUUCAGAAAUAUAUUCUGGUGCCUCAAUAUCAAUUUUAUCUAAAGACAAAACAAGACCAAUCAUAAACUAGAUGUUGGGGAGAG
RNAcentral lists this long non-coding RNA (312 nucleotides) under Mytilus galloprovincialis (Mediterranean mussel). Lineage: Eukaryota; Metazoa; Mollusca; Bivalvia; Mytilida; Mytilidae. The record is from RNAcentral.